UACGAAGGGGGCUAGCGUUGUUCGGAAUUACUGGGCGUAAAGCGCGCGAAGGCGGCCAUUCAAGUCAGGGGUGAAAGCCCAGAGCUCAACUCUGGAACUGCCCUUGAAACUGUAUGGCUUGAGUAUGAGAGAGGUGAGUGGAAUUCCCAGUGUAGAGGUGAAAUUCGUAGAUAUUGGGAAGAACACCGGUGGCGAAGGCGGCUCACUGGCUCAUUACUGACGCUCAGGCGCGACAGCGUGGGGAGCAAACAGG
RNAcentral lists this ribosomal RNA (253 nucleotides) under uncultured bacterium. RNAcentral describes it as "partial 16S ribosomal RNA". It matches the Rfam family "Bacterial small subunit ribosomal RNA", at positions 524 to 776 of the family's 1533-position model. The record is from RNAcentral.